UACAGAGGUCCCAAGCGUUGUUCGGAUUCACUGGGCGUAAAGGGUGCGUAGGCGGUCGGGUAAGUCUGAUGUGAAAUCUCACAGCUUAACUGUGAAACUGCAUUGGAUACUAUCCGGCUAGAGGAAUGGAGGGGAGACUGGAAUACUUGGUGUAGCAGUGAAAUGCGUAGAUAUCAAGUGGAACACCAGUGGCGAAGGCGAGUCUCUGGACAUUAACUGACGCUGAGGAGCGAAAGCGUGGGGAGCGAACAGG
Molecule: ribosomal RNA, 253 nt
Filed under: uncultured bacterium
Lineage: Bacteria
Description: partial 16S ribosomal RNA
Rfam family: Bacterial small subunit ribosomal RNA
Source: RNAcentral